Molecule: ribosomal RNA, 253 nt
Filed under: uncultured bacterium
Lineage: Bacteria
Description: partial 16S ribosomal RNA
Rfam family: Bacterial small subunit ribosomal RNA
Source: RNAcentral
UACGUGGGCAGCAAGCGUUGUUCGGAAUUACUGGGCGUAAAGAGUGUGUAGGCGGUGCUGUAAGUCUGGUGUGAAAUCUCCCGGCUCAACUGGGAGGGUGCGCCGGAAACUGCAGUGCUAGAGGGUGGGAGAGGAAAGCGGAAUUCCUGGUGUAGCGGUGAAAUGCGUAGAUAUCAGGAGGAACACCUGCGGUGUAGACAGCUUUCUGGACCACUUCUGACGCUGAGACACGAAAGCGUGGGUAGCAAACAGG